UAACACAUGCAAGUCGAGCGGAUGACGGGAGCUUGCUCCUUGAUUCAGCGGCGGACGGGUGAGUAAUGCCUAGGAAUCUGCCUGGUAGUGGGGGACAACGUUUCGAAAGGAACGCUAAUACCGCAUACGUCCUACGGGAGAAAGCAGGGGACCUUCGGGCCUUGCGCUAUCAGAUGAGCCUAGGUCGGAUUAGCUAGUUGGUGGGGUAAUGGCUCACCAAGGCGACGAUCCGUAACUGGUCUGAGAGGAUGAUCAGUCACACUGGAACUGAGACACGGUCCAGACUCCUACGGGAGGCAGCAGUGGGGAAUAUUGGACAAUGGGCGAAAGCCUGAUCCAGCCAUGCCGCGUGUGUGAAGAAGGUCUUCGGAUUGUAAAGCACUUUAAGUUGGGAGGAAGGGCAGUAAGUUAAUACCUUGCUGUUUUGACG
RNAcentral lists this ribosomal RNA (430 nucleotides) under uncultured Pseudomonas sp. Its description in RNAcentral is "bacterial SSU rRNA". It matches the Rfam family "Bacterial small subunit ribosomal RNA", at positions 49 to 474 of the family's 1533-position model. The record is from RNAcentral. Lineage: Bacteria; Pseudomonadati; Pseudomonadota; Gammaproteobacteria; Pseudomonadales; Pseudomonadaceae.